Gadus morhua (Atlantic cod) is the source of this 1912-nucleotide long non-coding RNA. The record is from Ensembl. NCBI's taxonomy places the organism in Eukaryota, Metazoa, Chordata, Actinopteri, Gadiformes, Gadidae.
GUCAUGCUGGCAGCAAUGGGCCCUGUGCAGCCAUAGUACUACAGGGAAAACGUUUUUUUCCGAGAGAUGAACGGGGUCCAUUGUAACUGUAGAGAAGAAUUGGAUAUAAGCCAACAAAUCAUUUGAUUGUCGACUUGAAGUUCAUUUCUGGGUGUGUCAGUUCACAAGCAGCCUGAAGAGCAGCAUCAAGACCCAUUUGCUGAAUUCCCAUGACGACCUGCCUCCCGCGAUGGCCUCCUCCGGCUUUGAGGAAGAGGAGGCUGUAGUGAUGGAGCAUAUAGCCCCCCGCACCCCCGACUCUCCCUAUAACCUGGAACUCGAGCUCACGUCCGAGUCCAAUCACAGUGACGAUGACCCCAUGGAUCACAUGGGUCUGGACCGCAUGUCCUUCCUGCUGCCCAUGUACGGCAUUCUGCCCAGCAUGAGUCCACGAUCAUGUGACAUGGGCAUGAGUUCGAACUGUGACGGUGGUCUUCAAGUGGCGGAGACCUGUGAGGUCAGCACUCUGUUUGAGGAUGAAGAUGACGAAGAGGAGGAGGAGGAGGAGGGGGCAGAUGGAGAGGAGCCCACCAUCUUCCACCUGAAGGCCUCCUGCCCCCUGGUCCGCCCACCCAACCAGCUGGACGACCAGCUGGCCCAGUCCGCCCACCUCAUGACCCUGGGGCUCUGCCGGAUCUCCAAGACCCCCAACGUGUCCACUCCCCCGGCUCAGGUGCCCGCUUCUGUGCUGGAUGACAAGGUGGCCCCGCCUGCGUCCGCGGACCCGCUGGGCUCCAGAGGGCCAGCUGGCCAACAGGGGGUGAAGGCAGAGGAGAGGCCGGCCAGCGGAGGGUGUCGACAGUGUGGCCGGAGAAUGAGGAGGCAGGGGAAGACGAAGAGCGGCAAGACGCAGAGCUGCCGUGCGUGCCAGCGCUCCGAUAGAACCCAGCACGCCGGUGACGCGCGAGCACCUCACAGACACUCACAGACACUCACCGCUACCGCACAAAGCACCAAGGCAGCUGCUGAGCACCACACGCACACACCCAACGCGCAGAGAGCUGGCAAGGGCAAGCGACACACAUUGAGCAUACAGUCGUCAGGAACACACACAGAGGGCACACGGACAGACCGCACGAACGCCAAAGACAUUCGCGUGCAGCCGCGACGCAUGGCUGAGCGGUGUGUUCUGUGACUACAAAGGUGCAGCGGUUGUCACACACAAAACUGAGGAGGAAAUCGAUCGCCGCCUCUCAUCAAGACUGACAGACACACCUUCUUACCAACCAACCAGUAGGGGGCGGAGCCACAAUGGGGCAGAAUCCACCCAACCUCACAGGACCAGGAAGCAGAGCAGAAGCCCAGAGGGGAACACGGGAUCGAAGAAGAAAGCCCCCAAGGAGACCAUUGGUCGAAGGGACCUGUGCUGUCUGCUCUGUGACAGGAAGUUCUGCAGCAGGCUGACCCUGCGUCGUCACAUGGGCAUCCACCAGGGUAGCAAGCCUUACAGCUGCCAGCUGUGCCCCUACCGCAGCCGCCUCAAGGCCUCCCUGCUGCAGCACAACCGCAUCCACACAGCAUACAGAAGAAGUGUCUGGACCUCCACGCCCGCCGCCACCACACGGGCGAGUCGUUCCCAUGCCAACAGUGUCCGUACUCCAGUCCGGACCGCCAGCUCCUUCUGCGACACGUGCAACGGCACCACUUACCCCUCGCAGCGUUACCAUGACAACCCUCACAACGACUUUAAACCACAACCCAUAGUGAUUGCAGUUUUUAUACACGUCACAGGUCGCUAGGACGUGACCAGUACAACCACAUCUAGAUUUUUGUAUAUUUUCUUUAAUAAAAUAAUGGAUUUAAGAAAUGUAAUCUUACUUUCUUUAAAACAGUUGAUUCAUUCUUUCACUGUGCAUAAACAGCUUCGAUUCAG